Molecule: ribosomal RNA, 244 nt
Filed under: uncultured bacterium
Lineage: Bacteria
Description: partial 16S ribosomal RNA
Rfam family: Bacterial small subunit ribosomal RNA
Source: RNAcentral
UAGGUGGCGAGCGUUGUCCGGAAUUAUUGGGCGUAAAGGGAGCGCAGGCGGAAGGACAAGCCAGAUUUGAAAGUUCGGGGCUCAGCCCCGUGACGGAUCUGGAACUGUUCUCCUUGAGAGCGGGAGAAGGAAGCGGAAUUCCUGGUGUAGCGGUGAAAUGCGUAGAUAUCAGGAAGAACACCAGUGGCGAAAGCGGCUUUCCGGACCGAAUCUGACGCUGAGGCUCGAAAGCCAGGGUAGCGAA